This is a long non-coding RNA of Camelina sativa (false flax), 875 nucleotides long. RefSeq lists it as uncharacterized. The record is from RefSeq and is a predicted model, not a curated record. NCBI's taxonomy places the organism in Eukaryota, Viridiplantae, Streptophyta, Magnoliopsida, Brassicales, Brassicaceae.
UUUGACUCGUUUGGUUUGCGGGUUUGUCGGAUGGUCCAAAGAAUCUUUCCUCUUCUUCUCCUCUUCUUUGGUUCUUCCAACCUGUGUCAAUUCUUCUUGAAUUAUCCAUGAAUUGAGAGAUGUUGUUGAUGAAUAUGAGUGAAGACUGGUACAAAAUGAAUGAUUCAUUAAUUCAUUCAUUCAGCUAUCCGCGAACAGAGUACAACAUAUCCUUCUUCAUUCGACUUUACAGACACACUCAGAGAACAAGUUAGUAAUCCAGUGUGGGGGUGGUUAUGUACAGAGACUGGUCUCAGAUGGCUUCCAUAAGCCAAAGUCAGGGACCGAUGCUGGAGACCAUCCUCCUAUCACCCGAUGCGAGCAGCAACCGAGGACAUGAUUGGAGGAGAUGCUUGGCAACUCUAUCAGUAUGUCUGUCAACAAUUUAUUAACUGCAAAUACAUAAGGACUAAAGUGGAAUUGUCAACUUGGUGGAGAAAGAGGUUGAACAACUUCUUGAACCCGAAGAAAGAGCAAUUCUUCAACAAAUCUCAAGAUGAUAUCAACAAUUCCAUUAAUGGAUAACUUCAUUGUAAUGGACAAGACAUUGAUUACGGUGGAAAUCGAAGCAUGAUGGUUCCCACAUAUUGGAUGUGUAUAAUCUUUGGUUGAAAAUUUUGUGCGGGGAUCUUCUUGCUUUCAGGCUGGUUCAUUAUUUGAAAGAAAGUUUUGCAAAUUUAUAGUCAGGACUAGAGGAAAAAUCUCAUCUUAAAACUACAGAUGAAAUUGCAUAAAGAACGACACAAUGGUGUUAUGCAGUUGCAGGUGUAAUUAUGAAUUAGGGAGUGAAGAACAAUUUGCUACCUUUUGCAGGAACAUGUUUUAGCUGUUGGAAA